This 468-nucleotide ribosomal RNA is filed under the name uncultured bacterium. RNAcentral's name for it is "partial 16S ribosomal RNA". It matches the Rfam family "Bacterial small subunit ribosomal RNA", at positions 28 to 507 of the family's 1533-position model. The record is from RNAcentral.
GACGAACGCUGGCGGCGUGCUUAACACAUGCAAGUCGAACGGAAAGGCCCUGCUUUUGUGGGGUGCUCGAGUGGCGAACGGGUGAGUAACACGUGAGUAACCUGCCCUUGACUUUGGGAUAACUUCAGGAAACUGGGGCUAAUACCGGAUAGGAGCUCCUGCUGCAUGGUGGGGGUUGGAAAGUUUCGGCGGUUGGGGAUGGACUCGCGGCUUAUCAGCUUGUUGGUGGGGUAGUGGCUUACCAGGGCUUUGACGGGUAGCCGGCCUGAGAGGGUGACCGGCCACAUUGGGACUGAGAUACGGCCCAGACUCCUACGGGAGGCAGCAGUGGGGAAUAUUGCACAAUGGGCGGAAGCCUGAUGCAGCAACGCCGCGUGCGGGAUGACGGCCUUCGGGCUGUAAACCGCUUUCGCCUGUGACGAAGCGUGAGUGACGGUAAUGGGUAAAGAAGCACCGGCUAACUACGUG